This 622-nucleotide long non-coding RNA is filed under the name Salmo salar (Atlantic salmon). RNAcentral describes it as "lncRNA (ENSSSAG00000102568.1)". Lineage: Eukaryota; Metazoa; Chordata; Actinopteri; Salmoniformes; Salmonidae. The record is from RNAcentral.
GUGGUCGUUCUGAGAACAAUGACACUGGUGCGCACGUGCAUGUGAAGACUCCAUUUUCUAUUUUCAGUGUUUGAACGAAAACAACAUCUCCCGGUUGGAAUAUUAUCGCUAUUUUACAAGAAAAAUCGCAUAAAAAUUUAUUUUAAACAGCGUUUGACAUGCUUCGAAGUACGGUAAUGGAAUAUUUUGACUUUUUUGUCACGAUACGCGCCGGCGCGUCACCCUUCGGAUAGUGUCUUGAACGCAAGAACAAAACGCAGCUAUUUGGAUAUAACUAUGGAUUAUUUGGGACCAAAACAACAUUGGGUGUUGAAGUAGAAGUCCUGGGAGUGCAUUCUGACAAAGAACAGCAAAGAGUUGUGGCUGAACGACGACAUGGAUAAAAUAAAACUGGUCGGGAUUUACGCUGCAUCGGCAAGAUAGAAGAGCUACCUCCGGACCUGAGCCCUAGGACCAUGCCUCAGGACUACCUGGCUAGAUGACUCCUUGCUGUCCCCAGUUCACCUGGCCGUGCUGCUGCUCCAGUUCCAACUGUUCUGCCUGCAGCUAUGGAACCCUGACCUGUUCACCGGACGUGCUACCUGUCCCAGACCUGUUGUCCCAGACCUGCUGGAACCCUGAC